UGAGGAAUAUUGGUCAAUGGACGCAAGUCUGAACCAGCCAAGUAGCGUGCAGGAUGACGGCCCUAUGGGUUGUAAACUGCUUUUAUAUGGGGAUAAAGUGGGGAACGUGUUCCCUUUUGCAGGUACCAUAUGAAUAAGGACCGGCUAAUUCCGUGCCAGCAGCCGCGGUAAUACGGAAGGUUCGGGCGUUAUCCGGAUUUAUUGGGUUUAAAGGGAGCGUAGGCCGUUUGGUAAGCGUGUUGUGAAAUGUAGGAGCUCAACUUCUAGAUUGCAGCGCGAACUGUCAGACUUGAGUGCGCACAACGUAGGCGGAAUUCAUGGUGUAGCGGUGAAAUGCUUAGAUAUCAUGAAGAACUCCGAUUGCGAAGGCAGCUUACGGGAGCGCAACUGACGCUGAAGCUCGAAGGUGCGGGUAUCAAACAGG
This 424-nucleotide ribosomal RNA is filed under the name Verrucomicrobiota bacterium. RNAcentral's name for it is "Verrucomicrobia bacterium partial 16S ribosomal RNA". It matches the Rfam family "Bacterial small subunit ribosomal RNA", at positions 355 to 776 of the family's 1533-position model. The record is from RNAcentral. Lineage: Bacteria; Pseudomonadati; Verrucomicrobiota.